Molecule: small nucleolar RNA, 135 nt
Organism: Camelus dromedarius (Arabian camel)
Lineage: Eukaryota; Metazoa; Chordata; Mammalia; Artiodactyla; Camelidae
Product: small nucleolar RNA, H/ACA box 14B
Source: Ensembl
UUGCAUUCUUAAACCCUCUUGGUAGCGUCGCCGUAAACGCUUCCAGGAUAUGAGUGAAUGCUACAGAAACUGCAGGGGAGUCCAAAGGGCUGCGCGUCUCCUGUGGCUCAGUCUUAUUUCAUACCUACGACAUCU